UACACACCGCCCGUCACACCAUGGGAGCGGGUUCUGCCAGAAGUAGUUAGCCUAACCGCAAGGAGGGCGAUUACCACGGUGUGGUCAAUGACUGGGGUG
RNAcentral lists this ribosomal RNA (99 nucleotides) under uncultured bacterium. RNAcentral's name for it is "partial 16S ribosomal RNA". It matches the Rfam family "Bacterial small subunit ribosomal RNA", at positions 1384 to 1482 of the family's 1533-position model. The record is from RNAcentral.